GACUGCAAACAAAGAUGGUACAGAAAAGCAUAAAUGUUUAUAUAAGAAACUCUAAAAUGUUAACCACAGUCAAGCCCAUCUCUAACACUGAUUCAAGUACCUAACAUUAGUCAGUCAGCACAGUCAAUUUAGUAUUUAAUAGAAACAAAAAUGGCAUGACACUCACAUUUAUUGCACGAAAAGAUACGCGACAGGACUAACUUUCACUAUGGUAACACUUUUCUGUAAAUCUGGUACCCUCGCUUUGAUAAAAUUAAUUUUAGAAUACUUUGGAAAAGGUUCAACAUAACAUUACACACAGCUUCACUACUUCAGGUCAAGUAAACAUGAAUUAUGGCACUAUCAUUAUUUCACUAUAAAACAUCAGCAUCAACCUAAAGGGCCAUGUCCAGCAGCAGCUUGAAGGCAGGGAUGACAAACACCCCUUUCCCCUUCACAAUAUAAAUCUAAAUUAGAAAAUGUUUCUAUCUGCCAUGAAUUUGCCUUGAUCAGCCCGAGCUCUUAUCGCCGUAACACAAACCCUUGCCACACCAUCAAAGUUGACAUGGUGUUGGUCCAGUUAACACCCAAAGCUGACUCUCAGCCGAUCAUGCCUUCACUCAACCGAGUUCGGCCCGAAAGGUGAACAAUGGCUGACAGAGGUAAGUUCAAUCCUUUUUCAGUAGAGAAACUAAUCAACCAACUAGCUACCUAAUCAACAAAUAUUAAAAUUGUAGAUCGUUAAUUGGUCUUCUGUUAUGAAAGCAGGCUAUUGAUUAGGCAAGCUAGGUUAAAUGUCAACUAGCUAGAAAGCUAACAUUUAACCAAAUAUUUUUUUAUAACUAACCCAAGAUGGACAACAGCCUGUCGUUUCCAAUGGGAGAAAAGUAAUCAUAGUGGAUAGAACAAGCAAAGAGGUGGGCAAAGCCAAGCAUGAGCUUGCGAGAUCCUAUUGGCACGUUCUAGCAUGUAUUUACAAAUAUCCAUUAGGGAUCGUCUACUCUGUGAAGUACACGUGUGCAGUAACUCAACCUUGCACUCCUAAACAUCACCAUUUUAAACAACUUUGGCAAAGGAUAAAGUUUACAAAACUUAGUCCACUCUGUUCGUAACAUAUUGUAAUUUUGGGAACAGAAACUGUAUUAAGAUCAAAUGUUUUAUUGAUGAGAAAAUUAGCAGAAUGACGGCCAAAUCCAUCUCACUUUAUCUUCUCCCACUGCCGGCCACUGUGCUUCCUCUCACCACCAUAUUUGGUGGUGAGUAGAAAUACCAACCGCACGCUUCAGAUUUAUACAUCUGGUGAAACAUCAUCUGUGGUUUAACUCUGUGGUUUAACCAAAGAACGUUUUGUUUUAUAUACACAGUAUCUGGUUUAACUAAGAGCAUUGUAGCGAAGUCAAAACUGAGCCAUGCUGACUGACAAGUGGCAUUGGUACAGCUCUGCCCCAAAUUGCAUGUUAUUAUUUGGCUAAAUUAUCAUCCAUAGAUGCCUACAGCCACAGCAGUCUUAAAAUUGACUGUUACCUUGAUUGCAACAUUAAGAUGUUAAAACAUUUAAACUCCUAUUGAACUGUGACAUAAUUUCCAGACAUCUGGUUUCCCCUUCUCACUCCAGUUGUUCUCAACACACAUUUAACCAGGUGGAGUCAGGCUUCUACUCAGGAGACAGAUGAUGCUGCUGCCCCACGGUAAGAACCUGGAGAUCUUCACUGAGGGAGGUGACGUGGCCACAAACAGUGCCUGGUACUCGUUCCAGUGCUACCUGCCGACUGGAGAACAGCCAGGGUGUGGUCAAGACAACUUCAUAUUUAGUGUGUCAGCUCUGCUGCACCUGGGAGCCAAAAGAUGGCUCUGGAUGCUGAUGAAAUCUGACUGAAAUUAGACUGUAGUCAAUAACUUUCAAUGCCAAAUUGAAAUCAUUCAUGAUUCUGUAAUGGAUAGAAAAUGAUAGUUCCCAAUCAGACAAUUACUACAUAUCAAAUCUGUUUCUCAGUGCAAUGUUUAGUGAAUGCAUGGCAUCGUUUUUGCUGUGUGUACUGAUUCAGUUCUAAACGACCAUCAUCGAGUCCAUUCUCAACCUCCUUGAUCACUGCAACAAUUGGCCGGUCUGCUGAGAGGGUUAUUGGCUGCCACCUGCCCUCCAUUGAGGUCUCGCAUGACUCCAGGGCAAGGAAGCGUGCGGAAAAGAUCAUUGCCGACCCCUUCCACCCUUUUCCAAACGGUUCAGGUCAAUCACGACCAAAACCCCCCCGCCACCUGAACAGCUCCUUCCCCCGCACCGUGGCCCUAACCAACCGGCCACCUGGUCCACCAUGAUUCUCUCAUCCAUGGACUUUGAACUCUGCCCUAUUCAUCCACAGACUAUGCACCCUGCACCAUUAUCCAGGAACUGCACAUUGCACAUCUCUUCCGUGCAUAAUUUAGCCAGGUCCCAUUAGACUGAAAUCCAAACCAAAAAGGUGCCAUGAAUUUAAAGAGAGAAAUUGAGAGUGAAAACUUGACCAUGAAAAGUUAUUAUUGCUGGUGGACAAUUUGAUGCAUUCAAAUGUAUUUUUACAUGUUUGAAUCAUAUUUCUUUGAUUACAGUUUGAUAUGUAUUAUUUAAGACAUUUUUCUGUGGCAAUUAUGUUCUGCUCGUAGGACUUGAAGUUAGCUGGAUACCCAAUAAGCUUGUUGUUGAGUGAGAACUUCAGCGAUUGAAAUACUUAGCAAAGAGCUGCAGUUAGUUUUGGAAUGGGUAGAAAGGAAUAAGUUAGUCCUAAAUAUUUCCAAAACUAAAAGCAUUGCAUCUGGGAA
RNA transcript from Oncorhynchus tshawytscha (Chinook salmon), 2775 nucleotides. It is a transcript of the gene named laminin subunit beta-1-like, with no coding region annotated. Lineage: Eukaryota; Metazoa; Chordata; Actinopteri; Salmoniformes; Salmonidae. The transcript is spliced from 3 exons. The record is from RefSeq and is a predicted model, not a curated record.